AUAUGCUAAUUUUAAAAUGAUACCAAGGUUGCAGUUAUUAAUGUUACAAUAAAACUAUUAUUUCCUUUUUGUCUCCCAUUCGUAUAUAGUACUAUUUUUUUCAGUGUAAUCGGAUAACCAGUACAACCAAUAACAUCCAAGUCGUACAAUUCAGGGGCCGGUAUAAGCGAGCAAUAUGUGGCGCAAAACAUGCCAAAAUAGCACCGGCUGAGCUUCCAACCCGCUUCUUUUUGUUUUUUCUUAAUUUGUUCGGUCAAAAUAUUAAUUUGAAUGCAUGAGUUGUACAAAUCGUUUAUAUCCUAUCAAUAACAAUAUACGGCAAUAAUGAUAACAUGGCAGGAUGAAAAGAACGGUAUGAUUAUCAUUUGACUAGUCAAAGAUUUUUUUUUUUCUUUUUUUGUGGUAAAAACUAGUCAAGGAUUGUUCACGACGGAAAAUUGAGGGAAGGUCGUAGAAACUUUAGAUCGACUUAGGAUUGGACAAUUCGACUCAAAAUCUUCCUAGAUGGGACAAGCACGCCUGGAAA
This 526-nucleotide long non-coding RNA is filed under the name Phoenix dactylifera (date palm). RNAcentral describes it as "long non-coding RNA (PDAC_LNC006915)". Lineage: Eukaryota; Viridiplantae; Streptophyta; Magnoliopsida; Arecales; Arecaceae. The record is from RNAcentral.